This 74-nucleotide transfer RNA is filed under the name Spirochaetia bacterium. RNAcentral's name for it is "tRNA-Asp". It matches the Rfam family "tRNA". Rfam says of the family: Transfer RNA (tRNA) molecules are approximately 80 nucleotides in length. Their secondary structure includes four short double-helical elements and three loops (D, anti-codon, and T loops). Lineage: Bacteria; Pseudomonadati; Spirochaetota; Spirochaetia. The record is from RNAcentral.
GGGGUGGUAGUUCAGCUGGUUAGAGCACCUGCCUGUCACGCAGGAAGUCGCGGGUUCGAAUCCCGUCCACCCCG